Callithrix jacchus (white-tufted-ear marmoset) is the source of this 2634-nucleotide non-coding RNA. NCBI's taxonomy places the organism in Eukaryota, Metazoa, Chordata, Mammalia, Primates, Cebidae. The record is from RefSeq and is a predicted model, not a curated record.
AAUGUGACAGUGUGUGACAGCAAUCAUGUCUCACCUCCUGCUUAAGCCAAAUGAUUACCUCUUAAAGCCACUUUACUAUGCAGGCUCUAGGCUAACUGAUGCCAAGUAGUGAUAAAAUGCCACACGCUAAACACAGUAACUCAUACUCUACAUUUCAACUAUGCAUAGGCAAUUGCUAAUCAAUGUUGUUUCUGCAAACCAAUGAGAAUUUCUGUCAAACAAUUUUGUGUCAGCCCACUCCUUGUUGCCUUUUGCCUUUAAAAACCUGCUUGCAAUCAUUGUGGAAUGGACCACUCCCCAAGGCAACUUGGAAGCCAGUUGCCCUCAACCUUGGCCCAAAUAAACUAUCUUCAUUCAUUUGGCCUCAGAUUCUUUUUUUUUUUUUUUUUUAGAUGGAGUUUUGCGCUUGUCACCCAGACCGGAAUGCAAUGGUACAAUCUUGGCUCACUUCAACCUCUACCCUCCGGGUUCAAGUGAUUCUUCUGCCUCAGUCUCCCAAGUGGCUGGUAUUACAGGCAUGAGCCACCACGCUCGGCUAAUUUUCGUAUUUUGAGCACAGACGGUGUUUCUCCAUGUUGGUCAGGCUGGUCUUGAACUCCCCACCUCAAGUGAUCCGCCAGCCUCAGCCUCCCAAAGUGCUGGGAUUACAGGAGUGAGACACCACACCCGGCUGGCCUCAGAUUCUUUAGGUCAAUGUUUUGUUUCCAUCUCUAGGCUAUUGCAGAUAAUUCUGCUGUGAACAUGGGUGUACAUAUAGCUGUUCAAGUCCCUGCUCUUAAUUCUUUUGGAUAUAUACCUAGAAGUAGAAUUGCUCGAUUGUAACAGUAAUUCUCUUUAAUUUUUUGAGGACCACCAUGCUGUUUUCCAUGGUAGCUGGACCAUUUUACAUUCCCACCAACAAUGCUCAAGGAUUACAGCUUCUUUGCAUCCUUGCCAUCCUGGUGGUUAUGACAUGGUAUCAUCUGCCACUUUUGAAUGGUGAAUACCUAAGAGAAAAAGCAGCUCCCAGUGUGAGGCUCACCUCCCUGCACUUUCUUUCUACUUGGAUCUUGGCCCAUCAAGUCCUCACUGCCUUUGGUAGUUCUCAUUCACACCUAUUUCUUUUCUUUCUUCUUCCUCUUCUUCUUUUUUUUUUUUUUUGAGACAGAAUCUCACUGUUGCCCAGGCUGGAGUGCAGUGGCACCAUGUCAGCUCACUACAACCUCCACCUCCCAGGGUUCAAGUGAUUCUCCUGCCUCAGCCUCCUAACUGGGAUUACAGGUGUGCGCCACUAUGCCCAGCUAAUUUUUGUAUUUCUAGUAAAGACAGGGUUUCACUGUGUUAGUCAGGCUGGUCUUGAACUCGUGAACUCAUGCUCUGCCCACCUCGGCCUCCCAAAGUGCUGGGAUUACAGGUGUAAGCCGCCAUGCCUAGUUAUUCACAGCUAUUAAAAGAACAUUUGGCCCAGCUUAGAGUUGUACUCACUAAGAGGUUUGUUGAAACAAGCCAUUGCUGCCCUUCCACACUUCUGGAAAAAAAAAAAGAGUAACUCCCUAACUCCUUGCAUCAUGGGGUUCUAAGAAAACCUAUAAGGUCAUUUUUGUGUUUGGGUUUUUGUUGUUGUUGCUUGUUUUAAGUAGAGAUGGGUUUGUUUUCCAGGGUGGUCUCAAACUCCUGGGCUCCAGUGAUCCUCCCGCCUUGGUCUCCCAAAGUGCUGGGAUUACAGACUCCUGAUAGCCGGGAUGAUACAGUGGGAGGUGCAGCCUGAGUGUGCAGUGUGGGCCUCCAUGGUGCCUGUCCAGGAGGACUGAGUUCACUGGGCAUGGGGAUACAGGCAACCUCACCAGCUUCGGGACCUUCUUGAGGAUGCUGCAGUUUAUGGGGAAACCUCUGAGCUCUUGUUGGAGCAGAAGUGACUGCAGCAGAGAGAAAGCCACGCAGCUGGCAGCAAACAGGUACUUAGGGUGAUUAACGAAUCUGAAAAUUCCCUCCUGCUUCAGCCUCAGCCUGCACCUGAGCUGUGGUCAGUGCAGCAGUACAUUUCUGCAUAAUCUCUUUUGACAACAGAGAGGGGGGCAAAUCCACAAGACUAACCCAAUUACAGCAAAAGAGAGAUCUGGCUGCUCCCUGUUGACAAAGUGAACACAAGGGCGUCCCUGUUCAGGGACGUGGUGCUUUAAGACCAGUGGGCUGCGGGCACAGGAAGUACUUUCCUGCUCCAGCAUCUUGAGAUAUUUUUGCUUUGUGACAAACAGUGGCUGUCACUCCUGGGCUGUGUCAAUUAGACACAACCUGCUUGACCCUCUGCACCCCCAGAGCUGGUUCUGAGAUACUUCAGCCCAGGAAGAGAUGUGCAAUGGUAAGAGCCCUCAUCCGGGAUCAGAAAAGUUGGGGGUCUCUUGUCCCUAUUUUGCUGUGUGGCCUUGAGUAGAGUGUUCAGUCUCCUUGGGCCUCAGCAUUCUCUUCUGUAACAUAAUAAGGUGUUAAAGUAGAUUACCCCCAGCUCCUCUUCUCUCUUAUUAACAAUCCUUGCAGGUAAAGAUUUAAGAGAAUUUUCAGUCUAUACUGUUUGUUUUACAGGCAGAGCUGUAAGAACAUAGGGCAGUGGGUAUAUACACCAAAACUAGGGUUGUGGUUUCAUUACAGAAGCCUAAA